GAUGAAUGCUGGCGGCGUGUUUAAGACAUGCAAGUCGCACGGGAACAUUUUGGCAGUAAUACUUGGAUGUUCCAGUGGCGCACGGGUGAGUAACACGUGAAUGACAUGCCCUUUAGAGGGGGAUAGCCCAGGGAAACUUGGAUUAAUACCCCAUGGUCUCGCAAGAGUAAAGGUGGCCGCAAGGCUGUCGCUAAAGGAUUGGUUCGCGUCCUAUCAGCUAGUUGGCGGGGUAACGGCCCACCAAGGCGACGACGGGUACCUGGUCUGAGAGGACGAUCAGGCACACUGGAACUGAGACACGGUCCAGACACCUACGGGUGGCAGCAGUCGAGAAUAAUUCACAAUGGGGGCAACCCUGAUGGUGCAACGCCGCGUGGAGGAUGAAGGUCUUCGGAUUGUAAACUCCUGUCAUCCGGGAGUAAGACCUGGCGAUGAAUAGUCGACAGGGUUGAUAGUACCGGAAGAGGAAGGGACGGCUAACUUCGUGCCAGCAGCCGCAGUAA
Molecule: ribosomal RNA, 503 nt
Filed under: uncultured bacterium
Lineage: Bacteria
Description: partial 16S ribosomal RNA
Rfam family: Bacterial small subunit ribosomal RNA
Source: RNAcentral